Molecule: ribosomal RNA, 441 nt
Filed under: uncultured bacterium
Lineage: Bacteria
Description: partial 16S ribosomal RNA
Rfam family: Bacterial small subunit ribosomal RNA
Source: RNAcentral
CCUACGGGCGGCAGCAGUGGGGGAUAUUGCACAAUGGGGGAAACCCUGAUGCAGCGACGCCGCGUGUGUGAAGAAGUAUUUCGGUAUGUAAAGCUCUAUCAGCAGGGAAGAAAAAAGACGGUACCUGACUAAGAAGCCCCGGCUAACUACGUGCCAGCAGCCGCGGUAAUACGUCGGGGGCCAGCGUUAUCCGGAUUUACUGGGUGUAAAGGGAGCGUAGCCGGCAAGACAAGUCAGAAGUGAAAUCCCCGGGCUCAACCUGGGAACUGCUUUGGACACUGGAUGGCUGGAGUGCUGGAGAGGUAAGCGGAAUUCCUAGUGUAGCGGUGAAAUGCGUAGAUAUUAGGAGGAACACCAGUGGCGAAGGCGGCUUACUGGACAGUAACUGACGUUGAGGCUCGAAAGCGUGGGGAGCAAACAGGAUUAGAUACCCCUGUAGUC